GACAGAGGGUGCAACCGUUGUUCGGAAUUACUGGGCGUAAAGCGCGUGUAGGCGGCUAUGCAAGUCGGACGUGAAAUCCCACGGCUCAACCGUGGAAGUGCGCUCGAAACUGCGUAGCUAGAGUCCUGGAGAGGAAGGUGGAAUGCUUGGUGUAGAGGUGAAAUUCGUAGAUAUCAAGCGGAACACCGGUGGCGAAGGCGGCCUUCUGGACAGUGACUGACGCUGAGACGCGAAAGCGUGGGGAGCAAACAGG
Molecule: ribosomal RNA, 253 nt
Filed under: uncultured bacterium
Lineage: Bacteria
Description: partial 16S ribosomal RNA
Rfam family: Bacterial small subunit ribosomal RNA
Source: RNAcentral